AUGGGAGUAAAGGAAAGUUUGCUUGUAGUAAAAGCAGCAGCAACAGCAACGAUGAAGUUCGAAUGCACUUCCUGCCUUUUGAACACCAAGUGGAUUUUCUUUGAAGGCUCUUCUGAAGUGUCUACCUCAAUUAAACCUUCAUGGGCCUCCCUCCAAGACUAUUUACUACUACCCUUUACCAGACAUACACUUUGCCAGAGCAGAAGCCAGUGCUGUGAAUCUUUCAGUUGA
This 231-nucleotide long non-coding RNA is filed under the name Ursus maritimus (polar bear). RNAcentral describes it as "lncRNA (ENSUMAG00000022019.1)". The record is from RNAcentral. Lineage: Eukaryota; Metazoa; Chordata; Mammalia; Carnivora; Ursidae.